GAUGAACGCUGGCGGCGUGCCUAAUACAUGCAAGUCGAGCGAACGGACGAGAAGCUUGCUCCUCUGAUGUUAGCGGCGGACGGGUGAGUAACACGUGGAUAACCUACCUAUAAGACUGGGAUAACUUCGGGAAACCGGAGCUAAUACCGGAUAAUAUUUUGAACCGCAUGGUUCAAUAGUGAAAGACGGUUUUGCUGUCACUUAUAGAUGGAUCCGCGCUGCAUUAGCUAGUUGGUAAGGUAACGGCUUACCAAGGCAACGAUGCAUAGCCGACCUGAGAGGGUGAUCGGCCACACUGGAACUGAGACACGGUCCAGACUCCUACGGGAGGCAGCAGUAGGGAAUCUUCCGCAAUGGGCGAAAGCCUGACGGAGCAACGCCGCGUGAGUGAUGAAGGUCUUCGGAUCGUAAAACUCUGUUAUUAGGGAAGAACAAAUGUGUAAGUAACUAUGCACAUCUUGACGGUACCUAAUCAGAAAGCCACGGCUAACUACGUG
Molecule: ribosomal RNA, 497 nt
Filed under: uncultured bacterium
Lineage: Bacteria
Description: partial 16S ribosomal RNA
Rfam family: Bacterial small subunit ribosomal RNA
Source: RNAcentral